This 397-nucleotide ribosomal RNA is filed under the name uncultured bacterium. Its description in RNAcentral is "partial 16S ribosomal RNA". It matches the Rfam family "Bacterial small subunit ribosomal RNA", at positions 523 to 918 of the family's 1533-position model. The record is from RNAcentral.
AUACGUAGGGAGCGAGCGUUGUCCGGAAUUACUGGGUGUAAAGGGAGCGUAGGCGGGAGUGCAAGUCAGAUGUGAAAUACAUGGGCUCAACCCAUGGGCUGCAUUUGAAACUGCUGUUCUUGAGUGAAGUAGAGGUAAGCGGAAUUCCUAGUGUAGCGGUGAAAAGCGUAGAGAUCGGGAGGAACACCAGUGGCGAAGGCGGGUAACUGGACUGCAACUGACGCUGAGGCGCGAAAGUGUGGGGAGCAAACAGGAUUAUAUACCCUGGUAGUCCACACUGUAAACGAUGAUUGCUAGGUGUAAGAGGUAUCGACCCCUUCUGUGCCGGAGUCAACACAAUAAGCAUUCCGCCUGGGUAGUACGGCCGCUACGUUGAAACUCAACGGAAUUGACGGGG